This 98-nucleotide non-coding RNA is filed under the name Indibacter alkaliphilus. RNAcentral describes it as "TPP sequence". It matches the Rfam family "TPP riboswitch aptamer (THI element)". From Rfam's summary of the family: Vitamin B(1) in its active form thiamin pyrophosphate (TPP) is an essential coenzyme that is synthesised by coupling of pyrimidine and thiazole moieties in bacteria. RNAcentral also lists the same sequence under 1 other name. Lineage: Bacteria; Pseudomonadati; Bacteroidota; Cytophagia; Cytophagales; Cyclobacteriaceae. The record is from RNAcentral.
AGAUCAUUAUAGGGGUGCCUUAAAAUAUCGGGCUGAGAUCAUACCCACAAUACCUGAUCCGGGUAGUGCCGGCGAAGGGAAAUGAGUAACCGAAGAUA